This 433-nucleotide ribosomal RNA is filed under the name uncultured bacterium. RNAcentral's name for it is "partial 16S ribosomal RNA". It matches the Rfam family "Bacterial small subunit ribosomal RNA", at positions 29 to 507 of the family's 1533-position model. The record is from RNAcentral.
AACGAACGCUGGCGGCAUGCCUAACACAUGCAAGUCGAACGAUACCUCCGGGCUUACUGGCGCACGUGUUCGUAAAGCGGGGAAUCCUGCCCUUAGAUCCGGCAUAACUCCCCGAAAUAGGUCCUAAUAACGGAUAAUGUCUCCGGACCAGAGCUUGAUCGGCUUUGGAUGGGCCCGCGUUGGAUUACCUAGUUGGUAGGGUAAAAGCCCACCAAGCUUACGAUUCAUAGCUGGUCUGAGCAGAUGAUCAGCCACGAUGGGACUGAGACACGGCCCCGACUGGUACGGGAGGGAGGAGUGGGGAAUAUUGGGGAAGGGGCGAUGGCGUGAUGCAGCAAUGCCGCGUGAGUGGGGAAGGCGUUAGGGUUGUACAGCUCUUUUACACGGGAUGAUAGUGACGGUACCGGGAGAAUAAGCACCGGCUAACUCCGUG